Molecule: ribosomal RNA, 445 nt
Filed under: uncultured bacterium
Lineage: Bacteria
Description: partial 16S ribosomal RNA
Rfam family: Bacterial small subunit ribosomal RNA
Source: RNAcentral
GUGAGGAAUAUUGCGCAAUGGAGGCAACUCUGACGCAGCCAUGCCGCGUGCAGGAAGAAGGCGCUACGCGUUGUAAACUGCUUUUAACCGGGAAGAAACCCCAGGACGUGUCCUGUGUUGACGGUACCGGAGGAAUAAGCACCGGCUAACUUCGUGCCAGCAGCCGCGGUAAUACGAAGGGUGCAAGCGUUAUCCGGAUUCAUUGGGUUUAAAGGGUGCGUAGGCGGAGCGUUAAGUCAGUGGUGAAAUCCUGCAGCUUAACUGUAGACUUGCCAUUGAUACUGGCGCUCUUGAGUGCGCUUGAAGUGGGCGGAAUGUGCCGUGUAGCGGUGAAAUGCUUAGAUAUGGCACAGAACACCAAUUGCGAAGGCAGCUCACUAAGGCGAUACUGACGCUGAGGCACGAAAGCGUGGGGAUCGAACAGGAUUAGAUACCCCGGUAGUCC